This 86-nucleotide transfer RNA is filed under the name Paracoccaceae bacterium. RNAcentral describes it as "Rhodobacteraceae bacterium (sponge metagenome) tRNA-Leu". It matches the Rfam family "tRNA". Rfam says of the family: Transfer RNA (tRNA) molecules are approximately 80 nucleotides in length. The record is from RNAcentral. Lineage: Bacteria; Pseudomonadati; Pseudomonadota; Alphaproteobacteria; Rhodobacterales; Paracoccaceae.
GCCCGAGUGGCGGAAUUGGUAGACGCAGGGGACUCAAAAUCCCCCGACGAUGAGUCGUGCGAGUUCGAGUCUCGCCUCGGGCACCA